AGGUAACACAAGGGGUGCCGCGCCUGCGGCUGAGAUGGGGCUUUGCCUCGGACCCUCAUAACCUGAUGAAGUUAAUACUUACGUAGGGAUGUGGCAAGUUGAAUCU
Abiotrophia defectiva ATCC 49176 is the source of this 106-nucleotide regulatory RNA element. It matches the Rfam family "TPP riboswitch aptamer (THI element)". Rfam says of the family: Vitamin B(1) in its active form thiamin pyrophosphate (TPP) is an essential coenzyme that is synthesised by coupling of pyrimidine and thiazole moieties in bacteria. NCBI's taxonomy places the organism in Bacteria, Bacillati, Bacillota, Bacilli, Lactobacillales, Aerococcaceae. The record is from Rfam.